AAUUGCUAGAUUGUAUCGUAGUGGUAUUUUUAAUUUUUUGAGGAACCUCCAUACUGAAGUGGCUGCACCA
Long non-coding RNA from Lynx canadensis (Canada lynx), 70 nucleotides. RefSeq lists it as uncharacterized. NCBI's taxonomy places the organism in Eukaryota, Metazoa, Chordata, Mammalia, Carnivora, Felidae. The transcript is spliced from 3 exons. The record is from RefSeq and is a predicted model, not a curated record.